RNAcentral lists this ribosomal RNA (301 nucleotides) under uncultured bacterium. RNAcentral describes it as "partial 16S ribosomal RNA". It matches the Rfam family "Bacterial small subunit ribosomal RNA", at positions 509 to 809 of the family's 1533-position model. The record is from RNAcentral.
CAGCAGCCGCGGGAAUACGAAGGGUGCAAGCGUUAAUCGGAAUUACUAGGCGUAAAGCGUGCGUAGGCGGUUCGUUAAGUCUGCUGUGAAAUCCCCGGGCUCAACCUGGGAAUGGCAGUGGAUACUGGCGAGCUAGAGUGUGUCAGAGGAUGGUGGAAUUCCCGGUGUAGCGGUGAAAUGCGUAGAGAUCGGGAGGAACAUCAGUGGCGAAGGCGGCCAUCUGGGACAACACUGACGCUUAGGCACGAAAGCGUGGGGAGCAAACAGGAUUAGAUACCCCUGUAGUCCCUGUCUCUUACAC